RNAcentral lists this unclassified non-coding RNA (183 nucleotides) under fungal sp. RNAcentral's name for it is "partial contains small subunit ribosomal RNA, internal transcribed spacer 1, and 5.8S ribosomal RNA". The stretch from base 1 to 47 matches the Rfam family "Eukaryotic small subunit ribosomal RNA", at positions 1785 to 1831 of the family's 1831-position model. Lineage: Eukaryota; Fungi. The record is from RNAcentral.
AAAGUCGUAACAAGGUUUCCGUAGGUGAACCUGCGGAAGGAUCAUUAACAAAUCUGUGGGUUCCAGUCUGUAUGUAUGUAUGGACUGUGGGCCCAUUUUUGCGCGUGUUUUGUGUGACUGGUUACUAUAGUGAAUUUGGGAUAAGGAAGGAGACAACUUUUAACAAUGGAUCUCUUGGCUCUU